RNAcentral lists this ribosomal RNA (512 nucleotides) under uncultured bacterium. RNAcentral's name for it is "bacterial SSU rRNA". It matches the Rfam family "Bacterial small subunit ribosomal RNA", at positions 15 to 518 of the family's 1533-position model. The record is from RNAcentral.
GAUCAUGGCUCAGAACGAACGCUGGCGGCGCGUUUAAGCAUGCAAGUCGAGCGGCAAGGGCCUUCGGGCCCCUAGAGCGGCGGACGGGUGAGUAACACGUGGACAAUCUGCCCCCCGGCCCGGGAUAGCCCAGGGAAACCUGGAUUAAUACCGGAUGAGACGGGACCCGCGAUGGCGGGAUCCGGGAAAGGCGCUGCGGCGCCGCCGGGGGAUGAGUCUGCGUCCCAUUAGCUAGACGGCGGGGUAACGGCCCACCGUGGCGACGAUGGGUAGCCGGCCUGAGAGGGUGGACGGCCACAUUGGAACUGAGACACGGUCCAGACUCCUACGGGAGGCAGCAGCUAAGAAUCUUCCGCAAUGGGCGAAAGCCUGACGGAGCGACGCCGCGUGAACGAAGAAGGCCGUGAGGCUGUAAAGUUCUUUUCGGGAGGGGGAACAACCGUGGCAGGGAAUGGCCGCGGGAUGACGUGAAUCCCGGAAUAAGCCCCGGCUAACUACGUGCCAGCAGCCGC